Bombus huntii is the source of this 2702-nucleotide long non-coding RNA. RefSeq lists it as uncharacterized. Lineage: Eukaryota; Metazoa; Arthropoda; Insecta; Hymenoptera; Apidae. The transcript is spliced from 2 exons. The record is from RefSeq and is a predicted model, not a curated record.
AGAAUUGCCCAGGUUUAUCUCUUUUUCGACAUGUUUGACUCAGGAUUAAGAUGCGUCGGAAUCACUAUCAUAUAAACAGACCUGAACUCUGAACAUUCCUAUAUCAAAAGCGGAGAAGACAUUUUAUAUUUCAAAUUUUUUAUAGCAACCGCGAGCUUGCUUUCUGUCUUAAUUCGUAAACUAAUUAACUAAUUCUAUAUAUCGUGAAUUAUCUAAUUCAUAACUUUCGAAAUAAUUUGUGACGAUCAAGGAAACCCAUUUAUUGGUUAUCCGUCAAAAUUCUAAUCUUCUAAUCACCAUUGCAAUUGGCUUUCUUUAUGUUAAAAUGGAAGGGAUGGGAAAGCCUGCACGCACUUGAGUAGCGACAUCCUGAGAAGGUGCAGAGCUCAUCGGCGGCCGUUGCCGAAACAAUGCAGCCGUUGACCACCAGAUGCCCCUUUUUUCAGUAUCCAUCUUUUAUUGACAUUUUGAGUUUAUUUUUCUCUUGGAUUUGAACAACAUUAUUUCUCAGAGAUGGGUUACAGAACGUACAGAAAUCGUAAACAACAUUACGUUGAUUAUACUGCAAAAUUUUUAUUUCGUCGCCAACAUAAUUUUGUAUAAUCAAAUAACUGAAUUUUUUAUAUGAUCUUGUCAACAUAUUUCAAGGUCAACGAAAUCUGUGUGUUUCUUUGUAUAUAUGUAUAUAUGUUUUAUAACAUAUAUAAUUAUUGAUAAAAUAUAUAUUGAUAAAAUCCAUAGUCCACGUACAAUAAAUAAUAGUACAUAAUAAAGGGACAAAACACAAAAUAAAGGGAAUACUCGAGUUAUGUUAAAAUAUCUUGACUUUCUGGCCGAAAGUUGCAAGUUCGAUUCUUUUUAUCAGUUGUUUAUAGCGGAAUUGUACCAGGAUUGUAUCAAAAAAUUCAAAUUCCUUGAUUAUAUGGGUUUUAUCAAAUUCUACAAGAUUGUAUGUACACUCUUGGGAGGCUAGUAGGGGGAAAAAGCUAUAUUUCUACAUUAAUUAUUUUACACCUUGGGGUCAUAGUUGAAGGAUUGUCUGUUGCCUCCUCCUUUCUACUAACUCCGAUCUUUGAUAAGUGAACAGUUUGAAUAGGGAAUAAGGUUGUCCGGAGUCGUGAUAAUGAGGGGGGGGGGGGGGAGGUGUAAGCCCCCUUCAAGGAUGAACCGUGAGGCAGUGCACGGAGACGAGGGGGGCAUCGUAACGUUUCUCGGGGACCAGAUAUUACUUACGUUUUUCCUGAUCCGCUGAAGCAGACCACGAUGGAGGUUUUAGCUACAAACAUAUCUAUGAUUUUAGUCAUUAAAAAUCUGAGACUACCCCGAAUCUUCCCCUUAAAGGGUUCCAGUGUCUAUGAAAAUUUAGAAAAAAGAUCACAGAUCGUGAAAUCUUUCAUAUUUUCUUCCUCCCUCCGCUUCAUGCUUCAUCAUUUUCCUGAAAAAUUUGAUAAUUUUAAGAAUUUGUAAUUCUGGUAAGCAAUCAUCUUAUGCCUAUGAAGAGAAUCGGACAUUUCUCAGUUCAAAAAAGCUCUUUGGAUGUUUUCCAUGUCUGGAAUUUUCAGUUCAAGGUUCUGCAGUUAUGUAUAAAAUCUUUUAAACAAUCAAAUGUUCUUUGGAGACAAAAAGACGUCUUGAAGUUUUAUUAUAAUUUACAAAGAGUUAUUUCCUUGAGUUCUUUCUCUAUAGUGAGAGUUAAAUCUAAAUUAUUUGUAGGAAUUGGAAUAAGUGGUAAAUUCUGUUAAAGGUAGAUGGGGCAAAAUAGACAAAUGCAAGUAAGAAAAUGAGAUGAGAAAAAGUAAUAAAAAAGGAGUAAGUAAAAUAGAUAAUUAACUGACUAGAAGUUUAGAAAAAAUGAAAAUUACAAAAAUUGGUUACAGAUAAGUAAUAAAGUACAUCAGGUAAAGCGAUAAUAGAUAAAUGACGUAAUUUAUGUAUCUUUUUUCCAUAUAUUUAUUAGUUUUAAUUUAUUGAAAACAGUUAAUUUUUUUUAUAUUUCUUAUUCUCAUAGUGAGUAGACUUCGAUGCAAAAAAAUUAAUCUUUAAUUUCUUAGCCAAGAUUAAUUUUGCAGCACCUUUUGUGGCUUAAUUUCUACCAAAACAAAAAUGUAAAAUCUAUUUGUAAUAGUCAUAACAUACUUUUUAUAUAUCUGGCACAUAUAUUUUAUAUAGAUAUUUGUAUAUCUCAAUAAAAAGUAUUAAUUUACCAAUGUGUAGAAGUAAAUAUUUUUAUUAUACAUUUUAUAAUGAUUUAUUCCAGCAUAUUUGAAAAAAUAUAAAUGUUUGAAAUGUUACUUACAUAAAUCCAAGUUAAUAGUAAUUUUAUCUCUAGAACUGAAAAAUUGUUUCUAAAAUAUUAAAUUUCCUUAUAUGUACUUUUGCAGAAUAAAACUAAAUACCGACAACUCAAUUCUCUUUUUGUCAAAUGGUAAUUGCGAAAGUGAAUAAUAAAAAUACUUAUAAUCACGUAUAUUCUCAAAUAGACGAUAUUUAUAAUAUUUUACUUAUACAGCAAGAAGAAACAUAUUUGUUUUACAUUCGCUAUUUUAUAUUUUUAAUAUUAUUACACUUAAUUUGUUUUUGGACGUGUAUUAAUAUAAUGCCAAUUCUGUUAUUUGGUUUUAUACAUUUACAUCAUAUUAUAUUUCCAGCUAAUAUAGCUCAGGAAAUAAUGCAAUUUGACUUUUCUUGUACAUUACCAUCUG